UUUUUUUUUUCAGUUUGGUUAAAGCUUUUUUUAUUACAAUUUUCUGUUUUUCUUACUCUGCAGAUAAAAUAGACAUUAACUGAUUCUUAGUUUUCUCUGCCUUGGAUUAAAUCACAUCUCUUAGAUGUUUAUCGGUAUUGUGCGAAGCAUAUAUUUUAAAAAUAAACAUUAAGAGAAAGUUUAAUUACAUAGAAGCAGAAAGAGGCAGGACCAAUAUAUUUGGAUAUUAUUCUAUAAAAUUCUCAGACAGCUUGGCAUCAUUGCUUAUAUCCCACAGCUUCAACAAGAAAAAAAUUAUGUGAAAGAAUUUUAGCACAAUAUAGAGAUCAAUAGAAACACAGAAGAGUGACCAUAAAAUAUAAUUCCUCUUCUGUGCUUUAAAAAGUUAUAGUCAUGGGCUUUGACUGUCUGGCAAAUGCUCACAGGUAUGUCAAUUUAUAAUAAGGUGAGUCAAUUUAUAAUAUGGUAGUUAUUCCUUACAUUUUAGAGACAGAAGAAAUCAGAAAUGUUGGCACCAGAGAAAGCAAAUUAGAGGGAAACAGAAACAUGUAUUUUCCCUUAUUGAAAUGGUGAGCAGAGGCUGUGUUAUGCUUGAAUAAGCUUUUCAUUCAUGCUCUUGCUUCAAUCUCUCACCCCUAAGAUGUAUGUAAAAAAUUCAAAAGACAAGUCUGGGCUGAGGGUAAAGCAGAUGGUAUCCAUUUUCUUAUGAUAGAAGGAAAAAAACCUACAACAAUUAUAGAUUCAAGUCUCCUUCCACUUGCAAAAUAGAAAUUUUGUAGUGCUCAAUCUAAAUAUUGUGGCCUCAUAUUUAGGAGUUUAUAAACAGAUGCUCUGGGCUUCAGACUUCCUGUGAGUUAGUCUCUAGGACUUUUAAAGAAGCUAUGUAGAAACUAGUGGAAUAUUUGAUAUCUCCCUAGCUUCAAGGACCCAGACUAUCCAUAUGAAUGAGGGGGAAAAGCUCCACUUUAGAAUUGCUGGCAGGCCUGGCAAGGCUAUAACUAGGUCGGGGUGAUCAGACUCUGCCACAAGACACCCAAAUUUAGACAGCACGAGUUUAAGCAAAAACAAAACAGUUUAAGGCAGUGUAAAAUUUUGAGGUCCUCAGCGAAUUUCCACACUACCUCUCUAGUCACAAUGCUACUAGCUCAACUUUGGAGCCAAGGCAGCUCUCCUGGGAAAGGACAGAGACUGAUUAUGCUAAAAAGCCAAGGUUAAGGGUAGAGACCACUCUGCCCUUUUACAUCCUGAGAGCAUGGGGCGAGGGUCAUCUCCUCCUUUCAACUUGCCUCACCCUCCUCCUAGCACAUAGUGGAAUGAAGUUGCUAGUUAUAUGUACUGCUGACUUUAUUAGAGGCUUUGACCUAGGUUGCAAGUACCUUGAAAUUGUUAACCCACUUCUACCACUUCCAGCCCUGAUGUGUGCCCAACAAAAUUCAUAUAACCUGAGAGUCGACCUAUAUGAUGGGAAGAUAAAGAAAGAAAAAGCAUAAUAUUAGUCUCAGUCCUUAUUCC
Molecule: long non-coding RNA, 1512 nt
Filed under: Macaca fascicularis (crab-eating macaque)
Lineage: Eukaryota; Metazoa; Chordata; Mammalia; Primates; Cercopithecidae
Description: lncRNA (ENSMFAG00000064629.1)
Source: RNAcentral